RNAcentral lists this ribosomal RNA (253 nucleotides) under uncultured bacterium. RNAcentral describes it as "partial 16S ribosomal RNA". It matches the Rfam family "Bacterial small subunit ribosomal RNA", at positions 524 to 776 of the family's 1533-position model. The record is from RNAcentral.
UACAGAGACUGCGAACGUUGUUCGGAUUCACUGGGCGUAAAGGGUGCGCAGGCGGCCGCAUGUGUGGGGUGUGAAAGACCGGGGCUCAACCCCGGAAUGGCGCCCCAAACUAUGCGGAUAGAGUCUGGGAGAGGGUGGCGGAAUUCAUGGUGGAGCAGUGAAAUGCGUAGAUAUCAUGAGGAACACCAAUGGCGAAGGCAGCCACCUGGACCAGUACUGACGCUCAGGCACGAAAGCGUGGGGAGCAAAAGGG